GAUGAAGAACGUAGCGAAAUGCGAUAAGUAAUGCGAAUUGCAGAAUUCAGUGAGUCAUCGAAUCUUUGAACGCACAUUGCGCCCUGUGGUAUUCCGCAGGGCAUGCCUGUUCGAGCGUCAUUUCAACCCUCAAGCCUCACUUGGUGUUGGGCCCUGCCCGCCGCGGCCGGCCCUAAAGAUAGUGGCGGCGCCGCCUGGCCCUCAGCGUAGUACAGCUCUCGCUCCAGGGUCCGGCGGCAGCCUGCCAGAACCCCCCAACUCUGUGGUUGACCUCGGAUCAGGUAGGGAUACCCGCUGAACUUAAGCAUAUCAAUAAGCGGAGGA
This 324-nucleotide unclassified non-coding RNA is filed under the name soil metagenome. RNAcentral describes it as "partial contains 5.8S ribosomal RNA, internal transcribed spacer 2, and large subunit ribosomal RNA". The stretch from base 1 to 120 matches the Rfam family "5.8S ribosomal RNA", at positions 35 to 154 of the family's 154-position model. The record is from RNAcentral.